Molecule: ribosomal RNA, 509 nt
Filed under: uncultured bacterium
Lineage: Bacteria
Description: bacterial SSU rRNA
Rfam family: Bacterial small subunit ribosomal RNA
Source: RNAcentral
AGAGAAGCUUGCUUCUCGGAUCAGUGGCGGACGGGUGAGUAACACGUGAGCAACCUGCCUUUAAGAGGGGGAUAACGUUUGGAAACGAACGCUAAUACCGCAUAAUAUAGAAGAUCCGCAUGUUUCUUCUAUCAAAGAUUUAUCGCUUAAAGAUGGGCUCGCGUCUGAUUAGCUGGUUGGUGAGGUAACGGCUCACCAAGGCGACGAUCAGUAGCCGUACUGAGAGGUAGAACGGCCACAUUGGGACUGAGACACGGCCCAGACUCCUACGGGAGGCAGCAGUGGGGAAUAUUGCACAAUGGAGGAAACUCUGAUGCAGCGAUGCCGCGUGAGGGAAGAAGGUUUUCGGAUUGUAAACCUCUGUCUUCAGGGACGAUAAUGACGGUACCUGAGGAGGAAGCUCCGGCUAACUACGUGCCAGCAGCCGCGGUAAUACGUAGGGAGCGAGCGUUGUCCGGAAUUACUGGGUGUAAAGGGAGCGUAGGCGGGAUCUUAAGUCAGGUGUGAAA